Molecule: ribosomal RNA, 487 nt
Filed under: uncultured bacterium
Lineage: Bacteria
Description: partial 16S ribosomal RNA
Rfam family: Bacterial small subunit ribosomal RNA
Source: RNAcentral
AUUGAACGCUGGCGGCAGGCCUAACACAUGCAAGUCGAACGGUAACAGGAAGAAGCUUGCUUCUUUGCUGACGAGUGGCGGACGGGUGAGUAAUGUCUGGGAAACUGCCUGAUGGAGGGGGAUAACUACUGGAAACGGUAGCUAAUACCGCAUAACGUCGCAAGACCAAAGAGGGGGACCUUCGGGCCUCUUGCCAUCGGAUGUGCCCAGAUGGGAUUAGCUAGUAGGUGGGGUAACGGCUCACCUAGGCGACGAUCCCUAGCUGGUCUGAGAGGAUGACCGGCCACACUGGAAAUGAGACACGGCCCCGACCCCUCGGGGAGGGCGCGGGGGGGAAUAUUGCAAAAUGGGGGCGGGCCUUAAGGAGCCUGCGGGGGGGUAAAAAAAAGGCCUUGGGUUUGUAAAUUACUUUCCGGGGGGAGGAAGGAGAAAAAGUUAAUACCUUUUCCCAUUGACGUUCCCCGGAGAAAAAGCCCCGGGAAACUCC